This 30-nucleotide non-coding RNA is filed under the name Rattus norvegicus (Norway rat). The record is from RNAcentral. Lineage: Eukaryota; Metazoa; Chordata; Mammalia; Rodentia; Muridae.
UAUAAUAAAUAAAUCUUUAAAAAGUUGGGU